AUGAGACUGCUGGGUGUCCUCCUGUGCCUGCUGACAGCCCCUCACGGUUGCUGGUCCCAGGUGCAGCUGCAGGAGUCUGACCCAGGACUGGUGAAACCUUCGCAGACCCUAUCCCUCACCUGCACUGUCUCUGGUUACUCCAUCACUAGUGGUUACUGCUGGACCUGGAUCAUCCAGGCCCAAGGCAAGGGACUGGAGUGGAUCGGGUGCAUAAAUAGUGGUGGAAGCACUUACUACAGCCCGUCCUUCAAGAGUCACACCUCCAUCUCCAGAGACACGUCCAAAAACCAGUUCUCCCUGCAGUUGAGCUCCAUGAGCACCGAGGACCGAACUGUGUAUUACUGCGCAAGAGACACACUGAGGGGAAGUCAGCAAAAGCCCAGACACAAACCUCCCUGCAGGAAACAGGGAGGCUGGGCUACAGGGGGUGAUCAGGGCAGCAGAGGAAGCUGUGGAACACUACACAGCUACUUCUACACAGACUCUGAUAUCCAGGACCAAUUUUCUGGAUCCAUAUUCCUGCAUCAGCACCUGCUUCUGCUCCUGGGAAGACACUGUUCCAGUGUCUACCACAUUACUAUCCUGAAGGCUUCAUGCUGUGCACUCUGA
Non-coding RNA from Pteronotus mesoamericanus, 609 nucleotides. NCBI's taxonomy places the organism in Eukaryota, Metazoa, Chordata, Mammalia, Chiroptera, Mormoopidae. The record is from the annotation of a RefSeq genome assembly.